CCUACGGGUGGCAGCAGUGGGGAAUAUUGCACAAUGGGGGAAACCCUGAUGCAGCGACGCAGCGUGAGUGAAGACGUAUUUCGGUAUGUAAAGCUCUAUCAGCAGGGAAGAAAAUGACGGUACCUGAUUAAGAAGCUCCGGCGAACUACGAGCCAGCAGCCGCGGGAAUACGUAGGGGGCAAGCGUUAUCCGGAUUUACUGGGUGUAAAGGGAGCGUAGACGGCAGCACAAGUCUGGAGUGAAAUGCCGGGGCUUAACCCCGGAAUAGCAUUGGAAACUGGGCAGUUAGAGUGCAGGAGAGGUUAGUGGAAUUCCUGGUGUAGCGGUGAAAUGCGGAGAUAUUAGGAGGAACACCAGUGGCGAAGGCGGCUUACUGGACUGUAACUGACGUUGAGGCUCGAAAGCGUGGGUAGCAAACAGGAUUAGAUACCCGAGUAGUC
This 440-nucleotide ribosomal RNA is filed under the name uncultured bacterium. RNAcentral describes it as "partial 16S ribosomal RNA". It matches the Rfam family "Bacterial small subunit ribosomal RNA", at positions 338 to 795 of the family's 1533-position model. The record is from RNAcentral.